Molecule: long non-coding RNA, 1122 nt
Filed under: Equus caballus (horse)
Lineage: Eukaryota; Metazoa; Chordata; Mammalia; Perissodactyla; Equidae
Description: lncRNA (ENSECAG00000050516.1)
Source: RNAcentral
GGCCCAGGCCUGUGCUGACCCGGAUGUGCGGCAGAGCCAGGCGCCUGCCCUCGGGCAGCUGCUGCUUGGCGGGGGCGCGGGCGCUGCAUAAACACAGAAGAGCGUCACUGCUUGUGAUGACUGCGUGCCGGAGAGCAGCAGUGCCCACCGAAGAGUGUGGCGGGAAACCUAAUAUUGUUUAGCAGUUAUGUAACUUGCCCUAAAUCAACAGCCAAUGUUCGUUGGAACUGGGCCCAAACUCUGGGAUAUACAACAGCCCUGUGGGACCCAUGAAUGGAAACCCCAUUGGCUAUCAAAGCCAGGUGAUUCAGGGACCUAUAUCUGGGGCAGCAGCCACAAAAGCUGGAGCACCAGAUCCCUUUGGAAAUAUGGCAAAAGCUAUGGGUCCUCAAAAGUGAGUUACCAGUCACACAAGCAGAGUCAACGCAGUGAGAACUACAAGAAAGCCAAGGGCAAAAUGAAAGGACUUGAUUUUUGUUGGCUAUUGUUUAUGUCAGGAAGUAUGCUGGGCACUUUUUACGUUAAACACUCAACUGUUAUUAUGUCCAACCAUCUCAUUCAAUCUUUAAGCUCUGUUAAGUUCAUUUUACAUAAAAGUUAACUCAAAGGUUUAAGUGAUUUGGUGAAAGUCACACACAGAGCCUGAAAGAUAUAUGGGUAGGGUUUUGAGCCACUUCUCUACGCUGGGGAGGAAAAUUGCAGGGAAGCAGAGAUGAGGGAAAAGGAGGAGUGAGGCAGAGGAGGAAAAGAGGUGAGGGGGGCAUUCUGAGCUGCCACAGCUUGGCAAGGAACCUAUUCCCUGGUCUUCUGGCAUCUUCAGAAAGGCUGAAGCUGCUGUGCCUCCAAACUGUCUGUCUGGAAGAAAGUAUGUCUCCGUCAGCUCCCGCCUCCCACCAGUCAGGGAUGGCCCCGAGGAGUAUUAACUCUCUGGUACUUGUAGGUUGUUCAACUGAAGAUGUUAGGAAGUUGGGCAUGUGAUGGCUCGCUGUGCUGUGAAAGCCCUAAGGCAGAAGGCAAUAGGCUAGUGGUUUGGGCACUGAUAGAGCAAGCCCUCAAGGGACCUGAGGAAUUAGGAGAAAUUGCCUCUGCUCCUGAUGGCUCUGCAGGGCCCUCUGUUUGUAG